This 1235-nucleotide long non-coding RNA is filed under the name Actinia tenebrosa (Australian red waratah sea anemone). RNAcentral's name for it is "uncharacterized LOC116296562, transcript variant X2". The record is from RNAcentral. Lineage: Eukaryota; Metazoa; Cnidaria; Anthozoa; Actiniaria; Actiniidae.
GUAGUUCAGUCGAUGUCUACGUGUUCAUGAAACGUUCUUGGCGAAAGAGUGUGACAAGGCUAGUAUGUUACACGGUGAAACAACUCAAGCUUGGCCCACGCUUCUCGGAUGUUUACCGUAGUGUUGGUAAUAGUUGGUUUGCAAACAUUCCAGAAAGAGCCAAGAGCCAGAGAUGGUCGCCAUGUUGGUGUAAUAAAUAGAGGAGGCUAAAGAGGACGUAUUUGUUUAUAAAUACCAUCAACAUGGCGGCGAUGACGUAAAGCGCAAACAAAAAAUACUUAACAACUCUCUAUGGCUCUUUCCAAACGCUGGCAGACGUCGAUAAAUUCAAGCAAAAACUGUUUAAAAAUUAUUCAGCUGCACCAAUCUGUCAUCACAGGAUGUAAGUCUAGUCUAGUCUAGUCAUCAAGGUCAUAAUACGAGUCUUUUUUGCCCAUUUAUUGUGACCACACUUGAUCCUCUCGAAAUAUGCCAUUAAUAUGGACCUCCGCUAACAACUUGAAAGCAAACAUAACGAAGGACACCCGUAAACUAUACUUCCUAACAAUUGUAGAAUACUGGACUGCCUCGCAAGACGUGUGCCCAACAAUAUCUGUUUUAACAAGUUGAAUAAUUCACUCACAGAGUUAAACUUCAAGUUCCCCUAAUGCCUGAGACAAUACUUUCAGUAUUGAUUCUACAUGAAUAGUUGAAUGAUAAAACUGAUUUGAGUGAUGCGUCUUGAAGAUAUCGAGGUUUAUACUCUUGGCUGUGACGUUAUCUGAGUAUUCAUUAAAAAUAUAAGUACUAACUUGUUCAAGCCAAAAUUUAUUUAAUAAAUAUUAAAAUCAUACUCAUGGUUUACACAAUUGAGUGUACAUUUGGUGUUUCAUAAUGGCCUGUGUUUAGUAUUACACUUUAAAACAAAUCCACCCAAAUACCCAGAAUGACAUCACAGCCAAAACUGUAAACCUUAAUAACUUAAAGACGCAACACUCAAAUGCAGAAACGUUUCACCAUUCAACUAUUCGCUUCACGUAGAAUGUAGGCACUUUAAAAGUUAAAUGCCUUAGUUGGCUUAAUGGGAGACAUGAAGAAAUUCCACUAACUUAUCAGGGACACUGCGAUACGAAAUGAAACAGUGUCAUAGAGACAGCAAAGAAAGUGCUUGAAAUUAGUCAACACUAACUGGAUAAUAAAAACUUUUAUUAAAAACUGAUAAUUAAUUUUGUGUUUUUCUUUCUUUUUUUUUUUUU